This 433-nucleotide ribosomal RNA is filed under the name uncultured bacterium. RNAcentral's name for it is "bacterial SSU rRNA". It matches the Rfam family "Bacterial small subunit ribosomal RNA", at positions 368 to 793 of the family's 1533-position model. The record is from RNAcentral.
ACAAUGGGCGCAAGCCUGAUGGAGCAACACCGCGUGAGUGAAGAAGGGUUUCGGCUCGUAAAGCUCUGUUGUUAAAGAAGAACACGUAUGAGAGUAACUGUUCAUACGUUGACGGUAUUUAACCAGAAAGUCACGGCUAACUACGUGCCAGCAGCCGCGGUAAUACGUAGGUGGCAAGCGUUAUCCGGAUUUAUUGGGCGUAAAGAGGGUGCAGGCGGUUUUCUAAGUCUGAUGUGAAAGCCUUCGGCUUAACCGGAGAAGUGCAUCGGAAACUGGAUAACUUGAGUGCAGAAGAGGGUAGUGGAACUCCAUGUGUAGCGGUGGAAUGCGUAGAUAUAUGGAAGAACACCAGUGGCGAAGGCGGCUACCUGGUCUGCAACUGACGCUGAGACUCGAAAGCAUGGGUAGCGAACAGGAUUAGAUACCCUGGUAG